This 253-nucleotide ribosomal RNA is filed under the name uncultured bacterium. RNAcentral's name for it is "partial 16S ribosomal RNA". It matches the Rfam family "Bacterial small subunit ribosomal RNA", at positions 524 to 776 of the family's 1533-position model. The record is from RNAcentral.
UACGUAGGGUGCGAGCGUUAAUCGGAAUUACUGGGCGUAAAGCGUGCGCAGGCGGUUUGUUAAGACAGAUGUGAAAUCCCCGGGCUUAACCUGGGAACUGCGUUUGUUACUGGCAAGCUAGAGUGUGUCAGAGGGAGGUAGAAUUCCACGUGUAGCAGUGAAAUGCGUAGAGAUGUGGAGGAAUACCGAUGGCGAAGGCAGCCUCCUGGGAUAACACUGACGCUCAUGCACGAAAGCGUGGGGAGCAAACAGG